AAAUGCGAUAAUUAAUGUGAAUUGCAGAAUUCAGUGAAUCAUCGAGUCUUUGAACGCACAUUGCGCCCCCUGGUAUUCCGGGGGGCAUGCCUGUCCGAGCGUCAUUGCUGCCCUCAAGCACGGCUUGUGUGUUGGGCUUCCGUCCCUGGCAACGGGGACGGGCCCAAAAGGCAGUGGCGGCACCAUGUCUGGUCCUCGAGCGUAUGGGGCUUUGUCACCCGCUCCCGUAGGUCCAGCUGGCAGCUAGCCUCGCAACCAAUCUUUUUAACCAGGUUGACCCCGGAUCAGGUAGGGAUACCCGCUGAACUUAAGC
RNAcentral lists this unclassified non-coding RNA (313 nucleotides) under plant metagenome. Its description in RNAcentral is "partial contains 5.8S ribosomal RNA, internal transcribed spacer 2, and large subunit ribosomal RNA". The stretch from base 1 to 104 matches the Rfam family "5.8S ribosomal RNA", at positions 51 to 154 of the family's 154-position model. The record is from RNAcentral.